CUCGGGUUGGUUUGGUGCCUGCGGAUAUGCUCAACCCACUACGGGGUAUCGGCCAGGAAUCGGAUGGCAGUAGUGUCCCAGUGACGACGCCCCAAGAGCCUGGUGAAAUGGCACAUGGACACCAUCUUCGUCUUCACCAGCGGCCCCAUUGCCACCACAAUCGCCAUCGGCGCGCGCCAGAGCCCCAGCCUUCGACCAGCCGCGCGCCGACAUAGCGCAUCCUUGUCGGCCGAACUCGUCCCAGCGGCGGCGACCAAAAAAGGAACAAGGCUCUCGACACACUGCCGGCACUCGGCGCGGCCGACGCUAGCGCGGUCGCCCCCCUUCGUUCCACCGUCAGCCACACCUCCCGGGGUUCCGGCCGUUCCGGCCCAUUCCGAAACAUGCUGGGCAAGAAGACGGCCCCCGUUCGUCGGGUCGUCAGGGGUCCCCUGGACCAGGAGUUCGCCGAGCGGAACUUUAUGUUUCGAGCCGCGGCCCUGCUCGGCGUGUUCCUCAUCGUCACCUUGGUCGUGACCGUCGGCGCAACCCUCUACAUGACCUUCAUCAAGCCCGGUUCGUACGCCCGGCUCCGCUAGAGAGGGGGCGCGGCCUCAGAGAUGCGCGUGCGCGAGCGAGCUUUUUUACCAUCACCCGAUUCGCCGACGUGCGGUCCACCCAGCGGCGGGGAAACGAACUGUUCGCGGGACCCCGUUCGUUUCCCACCACCAGAGGCGAGACGCAUCGACGUGCUUCUCGGAUCGUCUGCGGAGGCGUCCAGACGCGACGUUGGUCGUGGAAGGCGAACUUGUGGGGGGAACCUUCGCACGCGAGCGAUGUCGUGACGUAGUCGUUUCCCUGGACAGUGUAGCCGCCUGUGAGCUGAGCAUAUUGCUGCGACUCGCAAGAAUGGGCGAGUGUUCGGGCUCGACGUGCUUUCAUUAAAGCUUGCGUGAAAGUGCAUCGUUUUGUCGCUU
Molecule: long non-coding RNA, 956 nt
Organism: Dermacentor andersoni
Lineage: Eukaryota; Metazoa; Arthropoda; Arachnida; Ixodida; Ixodidae
Source: RefSeq, a predicted model, not a curated record